GAGGGUAUGGCUCAGUGGUAGAGCGUGUGCUUAGCAUGCACGAGGUCCUGGGUUCAAUCCCCAGCACCUCCG
RNAcentral lists this transfer RNA (72 nucleotides) under Camelus dromedarius (Arabian camel). It matches the Rfam family "tRNA". From Rfam's summary of the family: Transfer RNA (tRNA) molecules are approximately 80 nucleotides in length. RNAcentral also lists the same sequence under 2 other names. Lineage: Eukaryota; Metazoa; Chordata; Mammalia; Artiodactyla; Camelidae. The record is from Rfam by way of RNAcentral.